RNAcentral lists this ribosomal RNA (301 nucleotides) under uncultured bacterium. RNAcentral describes it as "partial 16S ribosomal RNA". It matches the Rfam family "Bacterial small subunit ribosomal RNA", at positions 509 to 807 of the family's 1533-position model. The record is from RNAcentral.
CAGCAGCCGCGGUAAUACGUAGGUGGCAAGCGUUGUCCGGAAUUAUUGGGCGUAAAGGGCUCGCAGGCGGUUUCUUAAGUCUGAUGGGAAAGCCCCCGGCUCAACCGGGGAGGGUCAUUGGAAACUGGGAAACUUGAGUGCAGAAGAGGUGAGUGGAAUUCCACGUGUAGCGGUGAAAUGCGUAGAGAUGUGGAGGAACACCAGUGGCGAAGGCGACUCUCUGGUCUGUAACUGACGCUGAGGAGCGAAAGCGUGGGGAGCGAACAGGAUUAGAUACCCGUGUAGUCCCUGUCUCUUAUAC